Molecule: ribosomal RNA, 429 nt
Filed under: Verrucomicrobiota bacterium
Lineage: Bacteria; Pseudomonadati; Verrucomicrobiota
Description: Verrucomicrobia bacterium partial 16S ribosomal RNA
Rfam family: Bacterial small subunit ribosomal RNA
Source: RNAcentral
UAGGGAAUCUUCCGCAAUGGACGAAAGUCUGACGGAGCAACGCCGCGUGAGUGAAGAAGGAUUUCGGUUCGUAAAACUCUGUUGUUAGGGAAGAAAAAAUGUAUAGUAACUAUAUACAAAAGAGACGGUACCUAACCAGAAAGCCACGGCUAACUACGUGCCAGCAGCCGCGGUAAUACGUAGGUGGCAAGCGUUGUCCGGAAUUAUUGGGCGUAAAGCGCGCGCAGGUGGUUUAGAAAGUCUGAUGUGAAAGCCCACGGCUCAACCGUGGAGGGUCAUUGGAAACUAAUAAACUUGAAUUCAGGAGAGAAAGGUGGAAUUCCUAGUGUGGCGGUGAAAUGCGUAGAGAUUAGGAGGAACACCGGUGGCGAAAGCGGCUUUGUGGCCUGCAACUGACACUGAGGCGCGAAAGCGUGGGGAGCAAACAGG